RNAcentral lists this ribosomal RNA (614 nucleotides) under Ramaria sp. 15 RGO-2016. Its description in RNAcentral is "eukaryotic LSU rRNA". The stretch from base 186 to 340 matches the Rfam family "5.8S ribosomal RNA". The record is from RNAcentral. Lineage: Eukaryota; Fungi; Basidiomycota; Agaricomycetes; Gomphales; Gomphaceae.
UCACACACACACCUGUGCACCUAUGGCGAGCGCCUCCCAUUUGGAGCCGUCUGGGGCCCCCCUUAACCUUUCUCCUCUGAAAGAAGGGGGGGCCGGACCGGACCGGGGUGCUCCCCUCUCUUCUUACAUCUCAGCCUGUUCAAAUGCAUGUCUUUUGAGCCCCACGGGGUGGAAAAUUGUAAUACAACUUUCAACAACGGAUCUCUUGGCUUUCGCAUCGAUGAAGAACGCCGCGAAAGUGCGAAACGUAAUGUGAAUUGCAGAAUUCAGUGAAUCAUCGAAUCUUUGAACGCAUCUUGCGCUCCUUGGUAUUCCGAGGAGCAUGCCUGUUUGAGUGUCGUGAAACACCCUCGAACCCUCCCUUUGCCUUUCCCUUGUUGGAGAGCGGGAGGGUCGGAUUUGGACGCUUGCGGCGGUUAACCCCCCGCCGCUCGUCUCUAAAUGCAUCAGCUGGUCCCUAGAGUCGGUUUGACGACGGUGUGAUAAUAUAACGCUUCGUUGACUGUGGCGCCGUCCCUGGGCCGACUCUGAACCGGGGUCGCUUACAGCCGUCUUCGGACAAUGAUUUCAUGUCAUCUGACCUCAAAUCAGGUAGGACUACCCGCCGAACUUAA